AUUGAACGCUGGCGGCAGGCCUAACACAUGCAAGUCGAGCGGAGCGGCGGACGGGUGAGUAAUGCCUAGGAAUCUGCCUGGGCGUGGGGGAUAACGUCCGGAAACGGGCGCUAAUACCGCAUCCUAUCAGAUGAGCAUAGGUCGGAUUAGCUAGGUGGUGGGGUAAAGGCAUACCAAGGCGACGAUCCGUAACUGGUCUGAGAGGAGGAUCAGUCAAACUGGAACUGAGACACGGUCCAGACUCCUACGGGAGGCAGCAGUGGGGAAUAUUGGACAAUGGGCGAAAGCCUGAUCCAGCCACGCCGCGUGUGUGAAGAAGGUCUUCGGAUUGUAAAGUACUUUCAGCGGGGAGGCGUUACCCGCAGAAGAAGCACCGGCUAACUCCGUGCCAGCCGCCGCGGUAAUAC
Molecule: ribosomal RNA, 407 nt
Filed under: uncultured bacterium
Lineage: Bacteria
Description: partial 16S ribosomal RNA
Rfam family: Bacterial small subunit ribosomal RNA
Source: RNAcentral